UUGAGUUCGGAUCGGUGUUGACGUUGCGCCGGAGAGCCGUUCGAGAGUGUGGACGUCGCGGUUGCGCCGUUGGAGGCCGGGCGAGCCCGUGAUUUUCUUUCCUUUCGACUUCUCGCCGUGGUUGGAUUAGCGUUUCGAGGUGGGUUGAAGUUUACCGAAAUUGCCGGAAUACCUCCUAAGUUUUUAUAUCGUCGACAUGUAUCAUUUGCGUAUUUUCCUUGCUAGUAUUCGAAUUCAUGGAUUAGUGUUUAAAUCUGAAUUUGGAGAUAAGCUAGUAGUUUAAUUUUACAUGUUGGAUUUGGAUUUGACUUAGGAGAAAACAUAUAGAUUCUAUACUGUCACUUUUUGAAAAUUACCAGAUUUAGCUUUAGGAGCUGUGGUUUGUUUGUAUCGUCGCUGUUAGUAUGCGAUGGAUACCAAGAUUAGUGUAGGAUGAGUUUACGCUCGUGCGAUGGAUACCCAGAUUAGCUUUAGCAGCUCAUUAUCUUAUGGUUGUUGGCGUGCCCGGAGAAACGUGUAAUCCGUGGCGUAAUAGCAUUUGUAAAAUUUUUUAUUUUACAAAGGUGUCUAUAAAAUU
Molecule: long non-coding RNA, 577 nt
Filed under: Ananas comosus (pineapple)
Lineage: Eukaryota; Viridiplantae; Streptophyta; Magnoliopsida; Poales; Bromeliaceae
Description: long non-coding RNA (ACOM_LNC008589)
Source: RNAcentral